Molecule: RNA transcript, 5640 nt
Organism: Ochotona curzoniae (black-lipped pika)
Lineage: Eukaryota; Metazoa; Chordata; Mammalia; Lagomorpha; Ochotonidae
Gene: FAM217B
Gene name: family with sequence similarity 217 member B
Exons: 3
Source: RefSeq, a predicted model, not a curated record
CGGCCCUGCCUCCUCCGGCCCCUGCCUCCUCGGGCCCUACCUUCUCCGGGCCCUGCCUUCUCCGGCCCCUGCCUCCUCCGGGCCUUGCCUCCUCCGGCCCCUGCCUCCUCCGGGCCCUGCCUCCUCCCCGGCCUGCCGCAGCGCGCCGCAGUGCGCCCGGGCGCCGGGGAGGAAGGAAGCGAGCAGCGGCAUCACGUGCCCUUGGCGGUCGCCGGACAGGUCUGAUCGAUUGCUGUGCGCGGCGGCGCCGCCUCGCGCACCCUCGGUCCUAGAGCGUGUGUGAGCGCCGAGAAGGGAAGGGCCAGUGCGCGCUGCGUGCGGGUCCUGGUGUCUGUGGGUGGAGAAGUGGCGAGGGGAGGGCCGGACCUACAUUGCCAGGAGCUGGUUCCCCCGCUGCUUCUGAGAGCUCACCUGCCUGGCGCCUAGCACAGGUGUGCGGCACCUGAGCUGAGGGCGGGGAAGGGGCAGCGGCGGGGUCCUCCUGAGCCUCGGUAAGGAGCAGAGGGCUUCCUGUGACCCCCUCUGUGUCUUGCAGGCCCAGGGGCUGCGUAUUGCCACGGGGCUGGGAAGGGGCUGCUCCCCGCCAAGUGCACCUGGAGCGAUACUGCAAGUGCAGGCCUGGGCACAGGAUGGGCACCCGGGAUGCGUUAGGCGGCUGCCCAUCAGGGGUCACCAGCACCUGGGCAGCACUGUUAAAGUCAGACUCUGACUGAGAGACCGGAUUCUGUGUGAGCAGCACCAGGGCCACGGGCAGUUUGCGUUCUGCACCCCCAGGAGUCUGCGGGUAUUGGUCUCUCUCCCACAGGAACUGUGCGUCCCACGCGCCUGUGGCUGGCAGCCUGGGCCCCAGUUCUGUCCGUGAAAUGAAGUGAGAACAUUGCUUUUUCCUGUCCAGGGAAACAAAGUGGCGAGAAAGCAGAGCGAUGGAGGCCGUGGGCAGGUGUGAGGGCCAGGCCUGUGGGCGUGGGGAGCUCGUGACCUCUGAGCGCCCAUGGCUGGCGUUAGUACUGCCCUGGGUGAGCUGCUGCCACAGGCUUACGUGGUUGUGGUGGACAAAACCUGAGCGUUUCAGAAAGAACAUUAAAAUCUGUAGUCUUGUCUCUUUUCCACUUUAGACAGGCAAGGGCAACUGUAGCAAAGGGAAGUAUUACAUUUUUAACAGGGCACUCAAAAUAAAAAGGGUUCAGGGGACGGAGCUUUGCUCCGUGAGAUUUCAGAAGCAUGACCUCAGGGCGCACAAUGUCAGACCAUUCCAGUGGGGGCAGCUGAAGAAGAGAAAGGCCGCUUCCGUCAAACUGGAGUCUCCUUUCCCUGAGAACAGGGGCGUGUGAGUGAGUGAGUGAAGGGAUGGGGCCUUGGAGCUGGCCUCGCAUUCCUCAAGAACGGAUUUUCCAAGGAGACCAUAGGAAGAGGGAAGGAGUCCGUCACAGCCCUUCCCACGCUGCCAUCUUGUGUCUAAUAGCCCGCGAGGAAUAAGAGAAAAGGCCUCCGUGUCCACCCCACAGUCCCGGGCAGCAGCAGCCGUGUGCUGACAGCCCGGCAUGUCGUACCAACAGAUGUUCAAAACCAGAGUGGGAGGCAGAGCAUGUGCUGUUGCUGGGAGCGCUCGUGGCCGGUGCUUUCCGUGUCCUCACCGUGUCCUUACCGUGUCCUCUCGCUUCUAGCUCCGGGGCUGAGGAGACCCUGCAGAGCACGAGAGGGGCACGGACCCCCUCCCCCCACCGGCUGUCACAUCCAUCAGCAAGUUGAGCAAGAGUGCUGUGAGCCCCGGGGCAGAGGUGACGUGAACUAGCCGGGCGCCGUCUGUGGCGGGGUGGCUGUUUCCUGCGUGCAACUGUCACUGUGGCUCUGUCUUGCAGACUGUCCGUCGGGCUGCAGGAGAUGGUCAGUCCCGUGAUGGCCAGCAGAGAAGGAAUAGGGUGAAUGGAGGGCGCCGGGAGAGCAAAAGCAUGAAUGGUGGCCCCUGCUGGAGCACAGGGCAGCGUCCCAGGAGGUCUUCGGGCAGAGGGCAGAGGCAGGCCCAGGAGCCCCGCGUUGAUCCCUGGACCACGGGCAGCCCUGCCAGUGUCUCCCAACCGACCGAGGAUAAAGGAAGCAUUUCCCCAGGAGGAGGAAGACCCAGGAGGAAGCUGGCGGGUUCUGGGCAUCAGGGGGCCUUGGGGAGCAGCCCGGGUGCUGGACCUAGGGGUGCCUGGGGGAGCAGCCCGGGUACUGGGCAUUGGCAGGCCUCAGGGAGCAGCCCGGGUGCCGGGUGUCGGGAGGCGUCAGGGCACAGCCUGGGUUCUGGGCCUUGGGAGCCUUUGGGGAGCGGUCCGGGUGCUGGGCGUCAGGAGGCUUCCGGGAGCAGCGGCCUGGGUGCUGAGGGUCAGGAGGCCUCGGGGAGCGGCAUGGGUGCUGGGCGUCAGGAGCCCUUGUGGAGCGGCAUGGGCGCUGGGCGUCAGGAGGCCUCGGGGAGCAGCGGCCUGGGUGCUGGGCGUCAGGACACCUCGGGGAGCGGCCUGGGUGCGGGGCGUCAGGACGCCUGCGGGAGCACCUCAUUUCUGGUUCCUGAGUCUGUGAAGAUGCAGAAGGAAGAUGCGGAGGAGGACAGUGCGAGUGAUCUGUCUGAUUCCGAGAGAGUCCCCUUCCCUCCCUCCCCCCUCACACCGCCGCUCCUCGAGCUCCGCGCUGAGGAGAUUGACCCGCAUUCCUUUGAUCUCCACCUAGCGCAGGACCAGACGCAGCCCGAACACGCGUACUCCAGCUUCCUUCCGCGCCCUUACAGCUCCUGGGACCUGCGGCACAUGGCCUGGCUCCUGCACGCAGAGCACCGAGCCGAGGCGGUGCCGCGUGUCGGAGGACUGCUCGGCAAGUACCUGGACAGACUUCUUCAGCUCGAGUGGCUGCAGAUCCAGACGGUGCAGUGUGAGAAAAGCAAGGGGGCCAAAGCGAGGCUCCCCCCCGGCCUGGGCAUACCCGGGGCCCCGAAAAGCCCAGGGCGAAGCAAGUUCUUGGCCAGUGCACUGUCCAAGCCACCGCUUCACCAGGAAGUGGCUUCAAAGUCGGGCCCAUCCCGAAAGCAAGUUUUCCGCCGGGAAGAAGUCCGCCCAUCGUGUUAUGUGUUCGAGGCUUGCCUCAGACCUGCUGAUGCGCUCCGUGGUUCGAGCUCAUGUUCUCAGAAGCAAAAGCCCCAAGUCAGGUCAGAAGAGAAGAGUAAGGAGCCGAGCGAGAGCGCCAGGCUGCAGUGCCGGGCCGCGUCCCGCAGCGGGCGCAGCCCCAAGGUGGAAGCCAGCGGUAACAUUCGAAUUCCCAGACACUCAGCCGCGACUCUGGACUCAGCAGACCCCUGUAAGACCCCCAAGUCACAGACACCUGCAAACCUCAAGAAAAAUGGAAGUGCAAACAAUUGUGGGAAUGCCACCAUGUCCGGCGAGAAAAAGCUCAGAACAAAUAGAGCAAAGCAAAGCACACACAGGUUAAAAACUCUUUGAAAUGGUGUGGAGCCUCGGGCAUCUCGGUGGGGCUGUUCCCAAAGUCAGCUGCUCUGUGACUCGGCAGAUCUGGGGGACGCACAGGUAGUUGGUCAGCUGUGUUGUCCACUCCGCCCUGCCGCCAGCUCUAUCUCUGGCAGGUGUAUUUUCAGAGAGAGCUGUCUUUCUGAAAGCCUGUCUCUGUACUGACACUUUUAAGCACAUCAGAGCCCUUUAAUUUAAAAAGUGGCACAGACCAGCAGCUCCUCAGAGGAAGAGCCCAGGAACCACCCGCAGGCAGCCUCCGUGGACCGGAGAGCCUCGGCUAGCUCCACGCUUGCACCUGCACGCGGCCUGCAGAGCAGCGAACGCAGCGGGCUCGAAGUGGGCCCUUCUCACGGCUGUCUUCUGCUUCCGGACCGAGCUCUCAGGAGGCGUUUGGCUUCGUAGGCUCGGGUUCUCAGCUUUGGAGCUGAUUCUCAGCAGGCCUCUGUGACUGAGCCUCUUGCUCUUCAGAGAUCCGGAGUCUGCCGCUGGACACUUUCUCCCUGGUUCUGAAAUGGUGGUGUAUACACGCACGUGGUGGAGAAGUCCAUUUCAGUUCCCAAGGCCAAGGUUAAAACACUUGGCUGACUUUCUUGAUGUAAAACUCUGGGGGCUUAGGCUUGGGGUUCGAGGCCUCCUUCCCAGAGGCACCCCAAGAAAGUCACCUUGCAGAAUCUGCAAAUCAAUGAAGGAUUCGUAAUAAAAGCACGUGAAACUGUACUGAGCGUGUGAAUAGGAAGCCACUUGGUCCUUGAGUCAGAAACGAAGCUGUGUUCGGUGUAAGCACAGGAUCUUAGCGCCUGGCUCGGGCCGUGCGGGAGUGGAGGACACGCUUCAGAAGUCAGCACGCUCCCGCAGCUGAGUGCCUCCCUCAGGUUCCUUGUCAGCUCGAUUUUUAUGUACUGAUCAUGCAGUUUGAUUGCCAGUGUGUUAUGCUAGGUACACACACACAUUUAUACCAAGGCUACAGGGUUUGGGCUGGGUUGCCUUUCCCGGUGGCGUGUCCAUGUGGGAACUUUGAGGCACCCUCGAGGGGCCGGGCCAAGGGGCUGUGCUUCCUUGUCUCUGCAUGUCCGGCUUGAAGACCACCUUGAUGAAGCGUGGAGACAGAGCCUCAUCUGCUGGGUCACGGCUCUUCAUGGAGAAGUCUUCCCAUGUUCAGUGUUAAAGGCCUGACAAAAUUUACAUUUGUCUUGGGCCAAACAUGGUUUACACUUUUGUCUUGGGUUUGGUUGCUUAUUUGAAUCAGUAUGGAGAGUGGGUGAAUUUUCCGUUUUUUUAAAGUUAGGCUUAACGUGGGCACAGUACCACCUCGGCUAGGCGCAUCUAGCACGCCGCCACGCGCUCCGUCUGCAGCUAACGUCUCAUUGUCUUCCAGUGGAUCAUCGGCUCCUUCAGGGGUUCAGGGGAAACCCCCGCAUGUCCAGGAGCCGCAUGACGCAAGUCGCCGUGAUCCCAAGGGGUGCCCCAUCUCAGGAGUUUUUAUUUGUAUCAAAGAACUGCUCAGAAUGAAAUUCUGCCCCAGCACCUGUGUGAGGAUCGUGUGGUGAGCAAGUGAGAGAGCUGUACCUCUGAGGACGCCUGCGGAGCGCGGCUCUGCAUUGCUGCAGCGCUGUCCCCCGUACGGCCCCCAGCAGGUGUUAAGACAAAGUCAGGCGAGUGGCGUGCAGACUCAGGAAGCAUAAGCCUAGCGGGUGAGAGAGAGAACUCAUGUCUGCGCUUGCGUCUUGGGCCCGAGUCUCACCUUUCGGGAAGCUGCCUGGUCUACAGAUGGCACUCGUAUUCCAAGCAUGGUGCAGGACCCUCUGCGCCACGUGCUGUACUCCACAUAUCAUCUCCCGGUGGUGGAAGCAGUGAUGGCGAUGGUGAUGAAGGGGAGCAUUUAAAAGCCGUUUUUGGUGUGGCCUGAAAAUGAACCACUGGUUUUUACAGAAAAUGCAUUUUUGGGCUGUUAUAAUUUUGUUGUCCACAAGAUGGCAACCAAGCCUUUCCAGACAGCAGUGACUUGGGCCGUCAGCGUGAGCUUGUCGGAAGGGUUUUUGCUGAGAUCUGAUGGAAUGGGAGAGGACAGGGCUGACGCCAGACACGAAGCGUGCUCUUUCUUUAGCUUCACUCGCCAUCAAAUAAUUAAACGGGUUAUUACACA